GUCGUAGGUCGAUGAGAAGACCGAUGGCGAAUGAAAGUUAAGGUAUUGCUUGCAAUGCUGAUGGGAGAUCCUUCUCCACUGGAGAGGGCGCAUCCCAGGGGCGUCGUGAUCCCGUUGCGGAUGCGACGCACCUAGAGCACACAUGAUGGGACCCGAAAGAUGGUGACCUAUGCCUGGCCAGGUCGAAGUCAGGGGAAACCCUGAUGGAGGACCGAAGCGAUUCUGACGUGCAAAUCGAUCGUCGGAGCUUGGUAUAGGGGCGAAAGACUAAUCGAACCAUCUAGUAGCUGGUUCCUCCCGAAGUUUCCCUCAGGAUAGCUGGCACUCAGCAAAGGAGACGGGAGUCUCAUCCGGUAAAGCGAAUGAUUAGAGGCCUUGGGCCGUAACGGCCUCAACCUAUUCUCAAACUUUCAAUGGGUGAGAUGCCUUGCCGACCGUGGUGUUGUUAGCGGCAAGGAUUUCGGAUCCGAGUGCCCAGUGGGCCACUUUUGGUAAGCAGAACUGGCGCUGUGGGAUGAACCAAAUGUCCGGUUAAAGCGCCAAAACCAAUGCAUAUUCCCGAUCCCACGGAAAGGAGUUGGUUGCUCC
Molecule: ribosomal RNA, 588 nt
Filed under: Artemia sp.
Lineage: Eukaryota; Metazoa; Arthropoda; Branchiopoda; Anostraca; Artemiidae
Description: eukaryotic LSU rRNA
Rfam family: Eukaryotic large subunit ribosomal RNA
Source: RNAcentral